RNAcentral lists this long non-coding RNA (3165 nucleotides) under Marmota monax (woodchuck). The record is from RNAcentral. Lineage: Eukaryota; Metazoa; Chordata; Mammalia; Rodentia; Sciuridae.
UGGCAAAAUGCCAGGCGCCAUCUUGACUUGUUUACAGACUCUAACACUUUUUUGUUCCUGAUUCUCCCUUUGCAACUAAACAACCAACGACAAGAAGGAAGAAGGCAACCAGUGAAACCCUCCCAUCAUAAAGACCCCCUUCAUGGCGCAUUCUCAGCAGGAAACAGCUUGGAGAUUUCAUGGCCCACUUUUCCAUAGAAAAAGGUAGAAAUCGACGGGGGGGAAUAUAACCAUGGUCCCCUUCACCUUCUCAUGGUAGCCCUCAUUGCUCUGAGGCUUAGUUUUUAAAAGAAUGUGUUUUUUCUCUGUUCUCCCCUGUCCCCUCCCUAGCAAGUUUAGGGACACAGUGUUAAUGUUCUCCCCUAGUUAAUUUCCCUCAACACACCCACUACAGGAAGGAGCUGCCUGCUGAGGAUCUGGGAAGUGAGUAUCUCCCCAAUCAAUAAGUGAAUCCUAACACACCAUCCGGCAUUCUGGGACCCCCUACCAGAGCCCACCUGGAAUGUUACCCUUGAAGAGUUCCUCUAACCCCCCCAUGUCCCUCCUGAUGGCGAGAAUCACAGCCUCUGGGACAGGAGUCCCCUGUGUUUCUCCUUUGCUAGCAAAGCAAGAAACCUUCUUUUUUUCCUUUUUCUCAAAAUCCUGUCCUUGUUUUUGGAUUGGCAUCGGGGACAAAGACCAAGCUUUCAGUUACAUCACUACAAAAAUCAUUAUUAGAAAGCGAUAAACUGGGCAGGUGGUGCACACCUGUAAUCCCACAGGCUCCGGCGGCUGAGGCAGGAGAAGGGCAAAUUCAAAGCCAGCCUCAGCAGCUUCGCAAGGCUCUAAGCAACUAAGUGAGACCCUGUUUCAAAAUUUAAAAAAGGGGAGGGGGAGCUACGGAUGCAGCUCAGUGGUUAAGCACCCGGUUUAAUCCCCAGGACGAGAGGAAGGAAGGAAGGAAGGGAGGGAGGGAGGGAGGGAGGGAGGGACGGAGGGAGGGAGGGAAGGAAGGAGAAGAAGAGAAAUACAAACUAAAGCGAAGCAAGCGAGGAGAUUCCCCGGAGGAUGCAGCCCCCGUAGGCCCACAAAGACCAGCUGUAGACCCGAGCCCCCACCCCCACCCCGCGCAGGCAGUGCCUGAGCUCAGGUCCCCGCUGCCAGUUCCCACAAGCCCCGCUUUCCCAGAAGGAGCCAGCAGGCCUCUGGGCCCUGGGCCAUCUGGGCACCUGCGGUGUCUGCCCCUGCACGCCUGCCCACCGCUGGCCAGCACACCUGGGAGUGCCUGGGGCCUUCCCAGGCCUGGAAGGAGCAGAUAAGGUGUGACAGUGCCUGGCUGUUCUUAGGGAGAGGGGUUUUCCGAUGAGAACGGCCCUCCCCCUUCUCUCCCAUCCCCUCUGCACCAGCCUGGAGCCUGGAGGGGUGUCCCCGCCACACACACACUGCACAGCGGGCUACGGCUGAGAACCAGGGAGGAAGAGGCUAGCCAAGGCCAGGGGCCAAGGUGGGAAAUCUCUUUGACUCCUCCCCAGGCUGCCAUGGCCCCGAGUUCAAUCCCAGCUCCACUGUUCCCACACAGUGUGCCCAUCACCACCCUCACCACCCCCACUUUUAAUUGAGGUGUGAUUCACAUACCUAACAUUCACCUUUUCAAGUAUAGUUUAAAUAUAUUCACUUAACUUCCUGAUUUGAGGACAUUGUCAUCACUCGGGAAAGACGCUCUAUACCCAGUGUCCGUCACGUCCUGCCUGCUGCCCGCCCCCAGCCCUGGGCAGCCCCUGCCUUUCCUAGGCUUGCCCAUUCUGGAGAUUUCAUACAAAUUAAAUCAAAUAAUAUGUGGCCUUUCGUGGGUUGGUUUUGUUGUUUGUUUUGUUUUGUUUUUGAGGUACUAUUACCGAAAACCUUGUCCUUGUCCCCAGUGCCAAUCCAAUCACAAGCCCAUGGUUUUGAGAAAAAGGAAACAAGAAGAUUUAUUGCUUUGCUAGCAAAGGAGAAACACAGGGGACUCCUGACCCAAAGACUGUGACUCUGCCCUUCAGCAGGAACAGAGGGCUUUUAAAGAUUCAAAGACUAUGUUCCACCCAUCCUCCGCUGGAGUUGUGAUUCUAUUGUUAAUUAAUCAGAGAGAGUCAUUUCUGAGGUCUUCGUGCCAUCCCCAAAAGUCUGGAUCACUUUGUUCCUGUGGUGGGUGUGUGCUCAAGGACAGAGAAAUCUGCCCAGGAGGGGAAAAAGGUGAUCCUGUUUCCUCUGAGAUCAGGGAUGGGGAGAGACAGGGGAAGAGAAAGAACCACGUUGUGAGGAUGGCCUUGGACCUGUGCCUAGCAACUCCAUUUUAAAACUCCAGUUUGAAACCUGCAGUCUCACCAGGCUCACCUAAGGGAACCCUCCAGUGUGGCCCUCAGGCCCAAACAAGUCCCUUCUCCCCACCCUCAUAAACCCAGAGUGAAGCCUCUGGCAGGCUGUCCUCCCCCCAGAUAAGGGGGAGAGGUGGGAAGAUCAGGGUGGGGCCACCAGGCCAGAUGUUUUAACUCCAGGGUAAAUGAGGACACUGAGAGACCUGGUGGCAGCUGAUAAGGACUGAAAGGGGGGGUCAAAAGCCCCCAAAUUUGGUAUAAAUAGUGGAGCCAAUGAACAGACACUCAGCCAGCCGACACUGGUGCCCUCAUGCUGAGAGCCUGGUGAGGACCUGUGCUGACAUCCCAGCUCUUCUCAUCGUUUGCUGAUCCUCUGCGUCUUCCUCACGGGUCUCAAACUUUCCAGCCACAUCUUGACCCUGGUGACAGCCGCAACUUCCCCCUAGGACCCUCUCCUCAGCCAGCCAUCAGCUCCACCCCGGGAGAAGCCUGCCUUGGUUCCUGACCUGAUCACGGGGUCUGAGUGAGUGUGCAUCUGCUGGACUAGAGCCUAAGGCUUGAGACUUUAGAUCUGACACUUGAGCUUAGCGGGCAGAGGAAAUGUCUGUCAAGAGUCUGUCAUGAUUAAGAGUGUUUGCAGGGCUUAGAAUUCAUCUAGAAUUGUUUGCUGUGGAUUGAUUAAUCUAGAAUUGUUUGCUGUGGAUUGAUUAUGUCUACUGCAGUGCCUAGCAUUAAGGAUGGUCGUUUCCUUGAUUAAGAACCUAGAGACUGAAAUUGUAUUGAGUGAUUUGAGUGAAUAAAGCAUUGGAAGGGGCAGAAGCACGUGGACAUU